This 132-nucleotide small nuclear RNA is filed under the name Erinaceus europaeus (western European hedgehog). Its description in RNAcentral is "U2 spliceosomal RNA". It matches the Rfam family "U2 spliceosomal RNA", at positions 1 to 133 of the family's 192-position model. Rfam says of the family: U2 is a small nuclear RNA (snRNA) component of the spliceosome (involved in pre-mRNA splicing). Complementary binding between U2 snRNA (in an area lying towards the 5' end but 3' to hairpin I) and the branchpoint sequence (BPS) of the intron results the bulging out of an unpaired adenosine, on the BPS, which initiates a nucleophilic attack at the intronic 5' splice site, thus starting the first of two transesterification reactions that mediate splicing. The record is from Rfam by way of RNAcentral. Lineage: Eukaryota; Metazoa; Chordata; Mammalia; Eulipotyphla; Erinaceidae.
AUUACUUCAUGGCUUUUAAACUAAGAUCAAUUGUAGUAUUUGCUCAUAACAAUUUAAUAUCUGAUAUAUCCUCUAUUUGAGGACAAUAUAUUCAAUGGAUUUUUUCAGUAAGAAGUUGGAAUAGGAACUUGA